UACAUCUUGGUUAGGGAGAGUUAAUGGCUCAACCAUAACCAUAGACAUAAGUCUUUCACAAGGAUAAGGCAUCUUCAACUCCAAAGCUCUCUUCUUCAUCCAAAGAGUGUAAGCUUCCAAAGCUACACAAUUACGCGGACCAAGCUCGGAUCUUCCUUUCCUAUCCAUAUUAUGCCAAGCAUGCACAAUCUCCUGCUUCAAAUGUUGGGAAUCUU
RNAcentral lists this long non-coding RNA (215 nucleotides) under Lathyrus oleraceus (garden pea). RNAcentral's name for it is "Pisum sativum (pea) long non-coding RNA (PSAT_LNC020511)". Lineage: Eukaryota; Viridiplantae; Streptophyta; Magnoliopsida; Fabales; Fabaceae. The record is from RNAcentral.